AUUGAACGCUGGCGGCAGGCCUAACACAUGCAAGUCGAACGCGUGGCGGACGGGUGAGUAAUGUCCGGGAAACUGCCUGAUGGAGGGGGAUAACUACUGGAAACUGUAGCUACUACCGCAUACCAUCGGAUGUGCCCAGAUGGGAUUUGCUAGUAGGUGGGGUAAAGGCUCACCUAGGCGACGAUCCCUAGCUGGUCUGAGAGGAUGACCAGCCACACUGGAACGGAGACACGGGCCAGACUCCUACGGGAGGCAGCAGUGGGGAAUAGUGCACAAUGGGCGCAAGCCGGAGGCAGCCAUGCCGCGUGUAUGAAGAAGGCCUUCGGGUUGUAAAGUACUUUCAGCGGGGAGGCGUUACCCGCAGAAGAAGCACCGGCUAACUCCGUGACAGCAGCCGCGGUAAUAC
This 406-nucleotide ribosomal RNA is filed under the name uncultured bacterium. Its description in RNAcentral is "partial 16S ribosomal RNA". It matches the Rfam family "Bacterial small subunit ribosomal RNA", at positions 29 to 526 of the family's 1533-position model. The record is from RNAcentral.